CUGCAACUCCCAUACUGACUCGGUAGAGGUGAAGGUCGAGAGCCAUGCGUCCUCCGAAACACGACCCCACCAAUCCGCACUGCUUCUUGACACACUGCUCGCUUGACCCAGAAGCCACCCGCACCAAUGUGUCGGAGGAAACACUGGUGACCGUGUCCGCGUGCAUGUGCCCGGCCAGCCACAAGUAGUCUCUAGAGCGCGAUGGGACAAAGACAGCCAGCCGGACAAACCCUCCUCUAACCCGGACAACGCUGGGCCAAUUGUACACCGCCUCAUGGGUCUCCUGUCACGGCCGGCUGUGACCCAGGGACAUCUAGAGGCAUGGCAUUGCAUUAACAAGAAUCCCCCUGUCCCAUCUGCUCCUGCUACACCCCCUAGUGGACAUCCGAAGUCUCAUUGACCUGCAGCCAUUCCCCCAGUUCUCUCCCUCUUCUUCGCUCUCUAUGUGUGCGAUUGUGUGGUUGGAGACAGGUGUGCUGGAGUCAAAGCAGUUCCCCACCACCUGCAGCCCGUUCCAUAAUCAAGACCUCUAUAAAUACUCAGUCCUGCCACUGCCACUUCCACUCUGCCAGAUCGUAAUCGCCGUUCAGUCAGUCAUGCUUCUAGCAAUUUGUUGUUAUUUAAUAUCCUGCUGUGCCUAUUUCCUUGCGUGACACUGUUUCUCCUCUCGCUGCUGUUUUGCCACUCUGGUUCCUGUCUCCUGCUACACAUCUCACUACCCUGUUCUGGACUCACCACACCACCACUCCCUUGGAUUCCCCUCCGGACCUGUUUACCCUGUCCCAACCCAGCUCACUCCAACCUCAGCCUCCACAUCUGGUUUCCUACAACUCAUCCAAGCCUCCCUGGAUCUGCACUUCAGUUCUCCAUGUGUUACAAUAAAUAUAUUGGUUCAUUCA
Molecule: long non-coding RNA, 899 nt
Organism: Oncorhynchus mykiss (rainbow trout)
Lineage: Eukaryota; Metazoa; Chordata; Actinopteri; Salmoniformes; Salmonidae
Source: RefSeq, a predicted model, not a curated record